This 301-nucleotide ribosomal RNA is filed under the name uncultured bacterium. RNAcentral describes it as "partial 16S ribosomal RNA". It matches the Rfam family "Bacterial small subunit ribosomal RNA", at positions 509 to 807 of the family's 1533-position model. The record is from RNAcentral.
CAGCAGCCGCGGGAAAACAGAGGGUGCGAGCGUUAAUCGGAUUUACUGGGCGUAAAGCGUGCGUAGGCGGCUUUUUAAGUCGGAUGUGAAAUCCCUGAGCUUAACUUAGGAAUUGCAUUCGAUACUGGGAAGCUAGAGUAUGGGAGAGGAUGGUAGAAUUCCAGGUGUAGCGGUGAAAUGCGUAGAGAUCUGGAGGAAUACCGAUGGCGAAGGCAGCCAUCUGGCCUAAUACUGACGCUGAGGUACGAAAGCAUGGGGAGCAAACAGGAUUAGAUACCCCGGUAGUCCCUGUCUCUUAUAC